This 497-nucleotide ribosomal RNA is filed under the name uncultured bacterium. RNAcentral describes it as "partial 16S ribosomal RNA". It matches the Rfam family "Bacterial small subunit ribosomal RNA", at positions 28 to 507 of the family's 1533-position model. The record is from RNAcentral.
GAUGAACGCUGGCGGCGUGCCUAAUACAUGCAAGUCGAGCGAACAGACGAGGAGCUUGCUCCUCUGACGUUAGCGGCGGACGGGUGAGUAACACGUGGAUAACCUACCUAUAAGACUGGGAUAACUUCGGGAAACCGGAGCUAAUACCGGAUAAUAUAUUGAACCGCAUGGUUCAAUAGUGAAAGACGGUUUUGCUGUCACUUAUAGAUGGAUCCGCGCCGCAUUAGCUAGUUGGUAAGGUAACGGCUUACCAAGGCAACGAUGCGUAGCCGACCUGAGAGGGUGAUCGGCCACACUGGAACUGAGACACGGUCCAGGCUCCUACGGGAGGCAGCAGUAGGGAAUCUGACGCAAUGGGCGAAAGCCUGACGGAGCAGCGCCGCGUGAGUGAUGAAGGUCUUCGGAUCGUAAAACUCUGUUAUUAGGGAAGAACAAAUGUGUAAGUAACUAUGCACGUCUUGACGGUACCUAAUCAGAAAGCCACGGCUAACUACGUG